This 1395-nucleotide ribosomal RNA is filed under the name Staphylococcus aureus. RNAcentral describes it as "bacterial SSU rRNA". It matches the Rfam family "Bacterial small subunit ribosomal RNA", at positions 61 to 1438 of the family's 1533-position model. Lineage: Bacteria; Bacillati; Bacillota; Bacilli; Caryophanales; Staphylococcaceae. The record is from RNAcentral.
GUCGAGCGACGGACGAGAAGCUUGCUUCUCUGAUGUUAGCGGCGGACGGGUGAGUAACACGUGGAUAACCUACCUAUAAGACUGGGAUAACUUCGGGAAACCGGAGCUAAUACCGGAUAAUAUUUUGAACCGCAUGGUUCAAAAGUGAAAGACGGUCUUGCUGUCACUUAUAGAUGGAUCCGCGCUGCAUUAGCUAGUUGGUAAGGUAACGGCUUACCAAGGCAACGAUGCAUAGCCGACCUGAGAGGGUGAUCGGCCACACUGGAACUGAGACACGGUCCAGACUCCUACGGGAGGCAGCAGUAGGGAAUCUUCCGCAAUGGGCGAAAGCCUGACGGAGCAACGCCGCGUGAGUGAUGAAGGUCUUCGGAUCGUAAAACUCUGUUAUUAGGGAAGAACAUAUGUGUAAGUAACUGUGCACAUCUUGACGGUACCUAAUCAGAAAGCCACGGCUAACUACGUGCCAGCAGCCGCGGUAAUACGUAGGUGGCAAGCGUUAUCCGGAAUUAUUGGGCGUAAAGCGCGCGUAGGCGGUUUUUUAAGUCUGAUGUGAAAGCCCACGGCUCAACCGUGGAGGGUCAUUGGAAACUGGAAAACUUGAGUGCAGAAGAGGAAAGUGGAAUUCCAUGUGUAGCGGUGAAAUGCGCAGAGAUAUGGAGGAACACCAGUGGCGAAGGCGACUUUCUGGUCUGUAACUGACGCUGAUGUGCGAAAGCGUGGGGAUCAAACAGGAUUAGAUACCCUGGUAGUCCACGCCGUAAACGAUGAGUGCUAAGUGUUAGGGGGUUUCCGCCCCUUAGUGCUGCAGCUAACGCAUUAAGCACUCCGCCUGGGGAGUACGACCGCAAGGUUGAAACUCAAAGGAAUUGACGGGGACCCGCACAAGCGGUGGAGCAUGUGGUUUAAUUCGAAGCAACGCGAAGAACCUUACCAAAUCUUGACAUCCUUUGACAACUCUAGAGAUAGAGCUUUCCCCUUCGGGGGACAAAGUGACAGGUGGUGCAUGGUUGUCGUCAGCUCGUGUCGUGAGAUGUUGGGUUAAGUCCCGCAACGAGCGCAACCCUUAAGCUUAGUUGCCAUCAUUAAGUUGGGCACUCUAAGUUGACUGCCGGUGACAAACCGGAGGAAGGUGGGGAUGACGUCAAAUCAUCAUGCCCCUUAUGAUUUGGGCUACACACGUGCUACAAUGGACAAUACAAAGGGCAGCGAAACCGCGAGGUCAAGCAAAUCCCAUAAAGUUGUUCUCAGUUCGGAUUGUAGUCUGCAACUCGACUACAUGAAGCUGGAAUCGCUAGUAAUCGUAGAUCAGCAUGCUACGGUGAAUACGUUCCCGGGUCUUGUACACACCGCCCGUCACACCACGAGAGUUUGUAACACCCGAAGCCGGUGGAGUAA